CCUACGGGUGGCAGCAGUGAGGAAUAUUGGUCAAUGGACGAGAGCCUGAACCAGCCAAGUAGCGUGAAGGAAGAAUGCCCUAUGGGUUGUAAACUUCUUUUAUAUGGGAAUAAAAUGUUCCAUGCGUGGGAUUUUGUAUGUACCAUACGAAUAAGGAUCGGCUAACUCCGUGCCAGCAGCCGCGGUAAUACGGAGGAUCCGAGCGUUAUCCGGAUUUAUGGGGUUUAAAGGGAGCGUAGGUGGAUUGUUAAGUCAGUUGUGAAAGUUUGCGGCUCAACCGUAAAAUUGCAGUGGAAACUGGUAGUCUUGAGUACAGUAGAGGUAGGCGGAAUUCGUGGUGUAGCGGUGAAAUGCUUAGAGAUCACGAGGAACUCCGAUGGCGAAGGCAGCUUACUGGACUGCAACUGACGCUGAGGCUCGAAAGUGUGGGUAUCAAACAGGAUUAGAUACCCUAGUAGUC
RNAcentral lists this ribosomal RNA (460 nucleotides) under uncultured bacterium. RNAcentral describes it as "partial 16S ribosomal RNA". It matches the Rfam family "Bacterial small subunit ribosomal RNA", at positions 338 to 795 of the family's 1533-position model. The record is from RNAcentral.